RNAcentral lists this ribosomal RNA (506 nucleotides) under uncultured bacterium. RNAcentral describes it as "partial 16S ribosomal RNA". It matches the Rfam family "Bacterial small subunit ribosomal RNA", at positions 29 to 523 of the family's 1533-position model. The record is from RNAcentral.
AGUGAACGCUGGCGGUAGGCCUAACACAUGCAAGUCGAACGGCAGCACAGGAGAGCUUGCUCUCUGGGUGGCGAGUGGCGGACGGGUGAGGAAUACAUCGGAAUCUACUCUGUCGUGGGGGAUAACGUAGGGAAACUUACGCUAAUACCGCAUACGACCUACGGGUGAAAGCAGGGGACCUUCGGGCCUUGCGCGAUUGAAUGAGCCGAUGUCGGAUUAGCUAGUUGGCGGGGUAAAGGCCCACCAAGGCGACGAUCUGUAGCUGGGCUGAGAGGAUGAUCAGCCACACUGGAACUGGGACACGAUCCAGAAUCCUACGGGAGGCAGCAGUGGGGAAUAUUGGACAAUGGGCGCAAGCCUGAUCCAGCCAUACCGCGUGGGUGAAGAAGGCCUUCGGGUUGUAAAGCCCUUUUGUUGGGAAAGAAAUCCAGCUGGCUAAUACCCGGUUGGGAUGACGGUACCCAAAGAAUAAGCACCGGCUAACUUCGUGCCAGCCGCCGCGGUAA